Pelobates cultripes (western spadefoot toad) is the source of this 163-nucleotide non-coding RNA. The record is from the annotation of a GenBank genome assembly. Lineage: Eukaryota; Metazoa; Chordata; Amphibia; Anura; Pelobatidae.
ACACAUUCCAGCCAAUCAGCAGCAGACCCUCCCUCCCAGACCCUCCCACCUCCUGGACAGCAUCCAUUUUACAUUCAUUGUGAAGCUGCAUUCUUAGUGAGCUGUCCAGGAGGUGGGAGGGUCUGGGAGGGAGGGUCUGCUGCUGAUUGGCUGGAAUAUGUCU